This 122-nucleotide small RNA is filed under the name Mytilus galloprovincialis (Mediterranean mussel). Lineage: Eukaryota; Metazoa; Mollusca; Bivalvia; Mytilida; Mytilidae. The record is from RNAcentral.
UAACAUCCUUGACAGUAGUGAAUUCAGCCAUUUCGAAUUGUUGUUUUUGUGCAAUCAACCAUCAAUUGCACAAAAACAACAAUUCGAAAUGGCUGAAUUCACUGCUGUCAAGGAUGUUAACU